AAAAGACCAGUAGGGUUUGACCUGAGGAGCCCCACCGGUGCCUUGUAUCACCCGAAUCAAGGAACUCAAAUGGAAAUCAGCCUGGAUUUCCAAGCUGAGAAGACAGCAUUGAUCUCCAGCCCGGGGUGAGAACCUGAAGAUGAGUCGUUAAAGGGAUGGAGUAGCAGGGAGGAUCUGGGAGAAGGAUGUGGAGUAACCUGCUGCUUCAUGCAAUAAUCCGGUGUUUCAUGGUUCUGAAGACCUGCCCUACUGUCUCCCAGCAGCCUAGGCAUUUUGUAUCACCCAGCGGCAAUGUACAUGGGUUCCAGUUUCUCUACCUUCUCAGCAGCGUUUGCUCUUUCCUGUUUUGUUUUGCUAUAACUAUCCUACAGAGUGUGAAAUGGUACCAUCUUUAAUCAGACAUAUAGCCUGCAAAUGUAUAUACUUAUUGAAAUUUUGUUUGUUUUUUAACUGUAUGUACUUGUGCCUGUGUAUUUAUGUGUACCACAUGAGUGCAGGUGCCUGAGGAGGCCAGGGGGCAUUGGGCCCCAGGAACUGGAGUUACAGAUGGUUUUGAGUCAUCUAAUGUGGGUGUCAGGAACCAAGCUCAGGUCUUCCUCAGGAUCAAUACGUGCUCUGAGGUGCUGAGCCGUUGCUCCAAUGUUUACGCUGCCAUUAGAUACAGGGCUUGCAAAUAUUUCCCCUGUACCACUGGUUGGCUGCCUUUUGCACUUCUUUAACGAUGCCCCUAGAUACACAAAAGUUUCUAAUUUUGAUGUUCAGUUCACUCCUUUGUUGCUGUUGCCUGUGCUCUUUCCAUCAAGAACAAAGGACAACUCCAGCAUCGUGAAGUAUCCCUCUGUGUUUUCUUAAGUUUUAUGCCUUUAGUUCCUACAUGUAAGGCUUUGAUGUAUUUUGAGAGUUAUUAAAUAUGUUCUGUGUGUCCA
Alexandromys fortis (reed vole) is the source of this 926-nucleotide long non-coding RNA. RefSeq lists it as uncharacterized. NCBI's taxonomy places the organism in Eukaryota, Metazoa, Chordata, Mammalia, Rodentia, Cricetidae. The transcript has 3 exons. The record is from RefSeq and is a predicted model, not a curated record.